AAAAAAUGAUGGUGGAAAGAUCUUUUCCAAGUUACAGAUGAUUAAAACUAUGUUCUGUUUGAGAAUUUGAACGCGACUUGUCUGUAAAGUUCUCGAACAUAGAUCUCGGAAAAAUGCUCCAAUUCCUAAAAUACAUGUGCAAGUUAAAUGAUUAGAUUAAAAAAAUGUUGGAACAAAAUAUAGUUAGUAUAUAUUGUACCUGAUAGUGCAAGGUGGACAUUCCGGUCAAGCAGUUCAGCAAAGAUAAAUGGAAGUAGUCGCUCCAUAAAUACAUGACAAUCAUGACUUUUCAUGCCUGAAUACUUUCCAUUAUCCAGAUCUACACAACUAGCCAAAUCUGAAAAAUAACCAUCUGGAAAUCUAAUAUCAUAUUUU
Molecule: small RNA, 375 nt
Filed under: Arabidopsis thaliana (thale cress)
Lineage: Eukaryota; Viridiplantae; Streptophyta; Magnoliopsida; Brassicales; Brassicaceae
Description: ATSL094740
Source: RNAcentral